UAUGGGUAUUCACUCAGGAUCAGCCUAGAAUAGCCUUUUAUGAUGUUGAUCUUUCUUCUCCAAGAAUUAUCAUCCUGUGAAUCGGAAUGAAGUCUAGAUCGUAAUCAACUCUUUGAUCUUUUUUUUGAUCUUUUUUUCUCUUCUUUUUUUUGAUCUCCUUCACAUAAUUUAGCAACAACCAAGCACUAAAAAUUAGCCAUCAAG
RNAcentral lists this long non-coding RNA (204 nucleotides) under Elaeis guineensis (African oil palm). Its description in RNAcentral is "long non-coding RNA (EGUI_LNC061997)". Lineage: Eukaryota; Viridiplantae; Streptophyta; Magnoliopsida; Arecales; Arecaceae. The record is from RNAcentral.